CAGUCGCCGCGGUAAUACGAAGGGUGCAAGCGUUAAUCGGAAUUACUGGGCGUAAAGCGUGCGUAGGAGGUUUGUUAAGUCUGUUGUGAAAUCCCCGGGCUCAACCUGGGAAUGGCAAUGGAUACUGGCAAGCUAGAGUGUGUCAGAGGAUGGUGGAAUUCCCGGUGUAGCGGUGAAAUGCGUAGAGAUCGGGAGGAACAUCAGUGGCGAAGGGGGCCAUCUGGGACAACACUGACGCUGAGGCACGAAAGCGUGGGGAGCAAACAGGAUUAGAUACCCGAGUAGUCCCUGUCUCUUAUAC
Molecule: ribosomal RNA, 301 nt
Filed under: uncultured bacterium
Lineage: Bacteria
Description: partial 16S ribosomal RNA
Rfam family: Bacterial small subunit ribosomal RNA
Source: RNAcentral